GAAGUCGGUGGGGUAACCUUUUGGAGCCAGCCGCCUAAGGUGGGACAGAUGAUUGGGGUGAAGUCGUAACAAGGUAGCCGUAUCGGAAGGUGCGGCUGGAUCACCUCCUUUCUAUGGAGA
Molecule: ribosomal RNA, 120 nt
Filed under: Bacillus cereus
Lineage: Bacteria; Bacillati; Bacillota; Bacilli; Caryophanales; Bacillaceae
Description: partial 16S ribosomal RNA
Rfam family: Bacterial small subunit ribosomal RNA
Source: RNAcentral